AUUUGCUGAUCCAAGCAAUGGUGCUUCAACUCCUGAUCAGCAACAAUAUGACGAGAAAAAUAUCCGUCGGAGGGUUUAUGGUGCUUUGAAUGUUCUAAUGGCAAUGGAUAUUAUUUCUAAGGAUAAAAAGGAAAUACAAUGGAAGGGUCUUGCUCGCACAAGUGUAAGCAAUAUUUAAGAUUUAAAGACAGAACGUCUUGGGCUAAGGAAUAAAAUUGAAAAGAAAGCAUCCUAUUUGCAAGAGCUGGAGGAUCAAGUAAGGGCCGCUAUCAAUAGUGGAUUUAGUCUGGGUUUGAACUCCUGUGCCU
Non-coding RNA from Vigna umbellata (rice bean), 308 nucleotides. The record is from RefSeq and is a predicted model, not a curated record. Lineage: Eukaryota; Viridiplantae; Streptophyta; Magnoliopsida; Fabales; Fabaceae.